Leptopilina heterotoma is the source of this 273-nucleotide long non-coding RNA. RefSeq lists it as uncharacterized. Lineage: Eukaryota; Metazoa; Arthropoda; Insecta; Hymenoptera; Figitidae. The record is from RefSeq and is a predicted model, not a curated record. The transcript is spliced from 3 exons.
CUUUUAAAAUUAAAAAUAUUUUACGAAAUAAAUAAAAAACAAUGGACAUAAAGAAAAUAUGUUAAUAAAAAUCAAUUAGAAUAUGGCAAUGGAAAUAACGUCAGAGCAACGUUAUUUUUGAGGUGAAUGGAGAAAAUACGCCUUUUACCCACAACUUGCUGUUAUCUCUACCGACACGGCGAGUAUGAUUAUUUACGAUUCAAGAAGAGCGUACGAUCAAGUGGAAAACGGAAAAAGAAGAAAAAAGGGAAGACUAAGAGCAACGGAAUAAAU